UGUAUGUAUUAUAAAAUUAAAUUAAUUUUUAGAAUUUGAGAAACUGUCAACAAUUUUAACAACAAAAGAAAAUAAAAACAUUAAAUAGAUAAUAAUCAGAAUUGACGUCACGACAAACAAUCCAGAAACGAAACAAAAUUCAAUUAGAACGCAUCACAACAAUGUAACCAAGAAUAAUAGUUUAGUUUCCCGACUACCUGUCGCCAUAUUCUGGAUUCAUGGUGUCGCAGUUAUUUUUCGUUGAACACCGAGAAAGUUGCGAUAACAGUUUUAAAAUGCAGUGGCUGCAGCAUGUAUUUGACUAAUAUUUGCUAUCUGAAACUAUUCUUGUUCAAUGUCUUAUAUACGAAAUAUGUGUACGCUUUCUAACAUAUGAAUGCCUACAUGUGAUUUGUCAAAAUUCCUGAAAAACGAUUAUCAUCUGCAACCAGCAUACCAUACAUAAAUUUAUAAUUUAAAUACUUGCU
Molecule: long non-coding RNA, 467 nt
Organism: Centruroides sculpturatus (bark scorpion)
Lineage: Eukaryota; Metazoa; Arthropoda; Arachnida; Scorpiones; Buthidae
Exons: 4
Source: RefSeq, a predicted model, not a curated record